This 600-nucleotide ribosomal RNA is filed under the name uncultured Actinomycetes bacterium. Its description in RNAcentral is "bacterial SSU rRNA". It matches the Rfam family "Bacterial small subunit ribosomal RNA", at positions 82 to 680 of the family's 1533-position model. Lineage: Bacteria; Bacillati; Actinomycetota; Actinomycetes. The record is from RNAcentral.
GCUGGGUGGAUGAGUGGCGAACGGGUGAGUAACACGUGAGUAACCUGCCCCCUUCUUUGGGAUAACGCCCGGAAACGGGUGCUAAUACUGGAUAUUCACUGAUCUUCGCAUGGGGGUUGGUGGAAAGGUUUUUUCUGGUGGGGGAUGGGCUCGCGGCCUAUCAGCUUGUUGGUGGGGUGAUGGCCUACCAAGGCUUUGACGGGUAGCCGGCCUGAGAGGGUGACCGGUCACAUUGGGACUGAGAUACGGCCCAGACUCCUACGGGAGGCAGCAGUGGGGAAUAUUGCACAAUGGGCGAAAGCCUGAUGCAGCGACGCCGCGUGAGGGAUGGAGGCCUUCGGGUUGUAAACCUCUUUCGCUCAUGGUCAAGCCGCAACACAUGGUUGUGGUGAGGGUAGUGGGUAAAGAAGCGCCGGCUAACUACGUGCCAGCAGCCGCGGUAAUACGUAGGGCGCGAGCGUUGUCCGGAAUUAUUGGGCGUAAAGGGCUUGUAGGCGGUUGGUCGCGUCUGCCGUGAAAUCCUCUGGCUUAACUGGGGGCGUGCGGUGGGUACGGGCUGACUUGAGUGCGGUAGGGGAGACUGGAACUCCUGGUGUAGCG